Molecule: ribosomal RNA, 497 nt
Filed under: uncultured bacterium
Lineage: Bacteria
Description: partial 16S ribosomal RNA
Rfam family: Bacterial small subunit ribosomal RNA
Source: RNAcentral
GAUGAACGCUGGCGGCGUGCCUAAUACAUGCAAGUCGAGCGAACGGACGAGAAGCUUGCUUCUCUGAUGUUAGCGGCGGACGGGUGAGUAACACGUGGAUAACCUACCUAUAAGACUGGGAUAACUUCGGGAAACCGGAGCUAAUACCGGAUAAUAUUUUGAACCGCAUGGUUCAAAAGUGAAAGACGGUCUUGCUGUCACUUAUAGAUGGAUCCGCGCUGCAUUAGCUAGUUGGUAAGGUAACGGCUUACCAAGGCAACGAUGCAUAGCCGACCUGAGAGGGUGAUCGGCCACACUGGAACUGAGACACGGUCCAGACGCCUACGGGAGGCAGCAGUAGGGAAUCUUACGCAAUGGGCGAAAGCCUGACGGAGCAACGCCGCGUGAGUGAUGAAGGUCUUCGGAUCGUAAAACUCUGUUAUUAGGGAAGAACAUAUGUGUAAGUAACUGUGCACAUCUUGACGGUACCUAAUCAGAAAGCCACGGCUAACUACGUG